Molecule: ribosomal RNA, 541 nt
Filed under: uncultured archaeon
Lineage: Archaea
Description: bacterial SSU rRNA
Rfam family: Archaeal small subunit ribosomal RNA
Source: RNAcentral
CAGCCGCCGCGGUAAUACCGGUGGCCCGAGUGGUAGCCGCUUUUAUUUGGUCUAAAGGGUCCGUAGCCGGUUCGGGCAGUCUAUUGGUAAAUUCGAAUGCCCAACAUUCGAUCUUUCAGUGGAUACUUCCGGACUAGGAACCGGGAGAGGUAAGAGGUACUGUAGGGGUAGGAGUGAAAUCUUGUAAUCCCUAUGAGACCACCUGUGGCGAAGGCGUCUUACCGGAACGGGUUCGACGGUGAGGGACGAAAGCCGGGGGCACGAACCGGAUUAGAUACCCGGGUAGUCCCGGCCGUAAACAAUGCUCGCUAGGUGUCGGGUAUGGCGUGACCGUAUCCGGUGCCGUAGGGAAGCCGUGAAGCGAGCCACCUGGGAAGUACGGCCGCAAGGCUGAAACUUAAAGGAAUUGGCGGGGGAGCACAACAACGGGUGGAGCCUGCGGUUUAAUUGGACUCAACGCCGGAAAACUCACCAGGGGAGACAGCAAUAUGUAGGUCAAGCUGAAGACUUUACCUGAAUCGCUGAGAGGUGGUGCAUGGCC